RNAcentral lists this ribosomal RNA (425 nucleotides) under uncultured bacterium. RNAcentral describes it as "partial 16S ribosomal RNA". It matches the Rfam family "Bacterial small subunit ribosomal RNA", at positions 354 to 796 of the family's 1533-position model. The record is from RNAcentral.
GUAGGGAAUAUUAGAAAUGGACGAAAGUCUGAUCUAGCAACACCGCGUGUGCGAAGAAGGCCUUCGGGUCGUAAAGCACUUUUUGGAAGGAAUAGGAAGGAAUGUACUUCCAGAAUAAGUCUCGGCUAACUACGUGCCAGCAGCCGCGGUAACACGUAGGAGGCAAACGUUAUCCGGAUUUACUGGGCGUAAAGCGCGUGUAGGUGGUACUGUAAGUAGGGCGUGAAAGCUCCUGGCUCAACUGGGAGAGGCCGUUCUAAACUACAGAACUAGAGGAUGGUAGAGGGAGGUGGAAUUCCAGGUGUAGCGGUGGAAUGCGCAGAUAUCUGGAGGAACACCGGUGGCGAAGGCGGCCUCCUGGACCAUUCCUGACACUCAGACGCGAAAGCUAGGGUAGCAAACGGGAUUAGAAACCCUAGUAGUCC